CAGCCGGCGUGGAAAGAGUCCUGUGUGACUGUUUUCUCUCUCUUUUGUGUGUGUUUGUGUGUGCUUCUGUUUGGAUUUUUUCUGUGACAGUAGAAAUUUAUAGAAGAGGCUGCCUUACUGGAUACUCUUUGUUUGUAAUAAACUGUAUUCAUCUCCCGUUUGUGUGUUUACUUUUUUUUCUGCGACACGUGGAGUUGGCGUUUGAUCUGAUUGCCAGAAGAAAUUCAGCCGACAGGAACCCAGCAUUUGAGGUUCCUCCGUCAAGAUCUUAAUUGCUUCUUGGACAAGAAGAAGUUUCGAGUUGGUCUCCAAGGAG
Molecule: long non-coding RNA, 316 nt
Organism: Penaeus monodon (black tiger shrimp)
Lineage: Eukaryota; Metazoa; Arthropoda; Malacostraca; Decapoda; Penaeidae
Exons: 4
Source: RefSeq, a predicted model, not a curated record